UCCAACCUUACAUUUGGAAGAAAACUCAUGCUUAUUUGCAAAUAUCUGUAGAGCAAUUUUAAAAUAAAAUAUAGCAUAUAAAUGCUACGUUAAGGCUAUUUUAAGUUUCUCCCUGCGAAUAUAGAAGAUUGUAUUGUAAGUAUGUUAGUCAAUAAGAUCUUAAAUCUCAUUUUGGAUUUUUUUUUUAAAACAUUCCUCAUUUAGAAAUUUCCUAGUCCAAUAUAUUUUGAUGGAAGUAUCCUUAUUUCUCCCUACCCUCUAUCCCUAUUUAUAGCUUUCAAACAUUCAGUGAUACAUAUACUUUCAGUUUCAAAGGACAGAGAUGUCAUCUAGAAAAAGUGCCUUCUCCCUUUUCCUAUUUGCUGCUGUGAAGUCCCACCCAUGAGCCCAGCAAAUAUUUAAAAGGGUCACAUUAAACUCAAACCAUCAAAAAAAAUCAAGCUAAUGUGUGAAAAUGUUUUACGUACUGUGGUUACACAUUCACACAGAACUCAAGACUAUUAUAGUUAGAAGAGAUUAGUUAUUUUUCCUCUUUUUUCAAUCUUGUUUACUGUAAUCAUUCAAGAACACUUAGUGUAAGGCCAGUUUCAUUAUUUAAUGUGAUAAUCACUUUCCCCUUUGUGUACACCUUUUACAGAGCAACACUUAAAAAAAAAUAGGAAAUCAAGACUGUAAAACAACAAAAAGUGGUAGGUGGGCUUAGGGACAGAUAGGAUACCUGGUAACCUGGAACUACUUCUGAGUUUAUAUUCUUUAUAAACAGAGAUGAGACUCCAUCACCAGAGUGAGGUUUAGGGCCGGAUGGUAGAGAGGAGACUCCCCCACUGGGGUGGCCUUUAGUUUAGUCCCAGAGAGAGGGUAAGAAACGAGGCCCCCCUCAUCGUGCAGGGACUGGGGGGUAACAGCUCCACUCACUGAGGGAUGAGAGUAGGAGCAGGCUCCCAUCAUUGGGGGUAGGUUCAGAGGAGAGUCCCCUCCCGGGGGAUUCAGGACUGAGACCAGAGUAGGCGAAGGUUCAUGGCAAGGGCCAGAGUGGCGGAGCAGGGAGGAGGAAAUUCCCCUCACUGGGGAGCUCAGGGAAGUGUCAGGCUCCAGGACAGUCGGCGGGGGACGACUCAGGUUCACUUUCCUAUAGUCGCUGAGCCCAAGGGACUUGACGCGUCGGGAGCCCGCAGCCCCGACUCCGGUUACCAGGCUACAGAGGCCGCUCUGGGUCGGAGCGGAGACAACAUAAACCCCGCGGCUCCCUCCCUGUGGCUGGGGGAGGGGCAGGUUACAGGCGGCGGCCGCCAUCUUAGCUUCGGGCAACAUUCCUUCCCGUAGAGCGGUAAAACAAAUAAAUAGGAACACGUGACCCCCAAGGCCAUAGAGAUGAGCCGGCCACCCAUAAUCAAGAUGGCCUCCGCGGCAUCCCACAAGCCUCUCUGGGCCCCUCUCUAUGGCCCGGGCAAGGCCUCACUUACUCUGGGGGAUAAAGGCGCAGCUCCUCGAUUUCUCCCAGGAAGCCGAAGAGCGUCCGCAUCUGCUCGCUGGUUACCGCCGAGGAGAGGUUGGUGACUUGGAUGACGGAGAGACAAUCCACUGGUAUCCUGCAUCAUCAUCUGUCUUCCUCAAAGAGAAAGAAAGAUCCUAACUAAGACUCUUAUGACUGAUGGCCAGAACUGUCCACUGUAGCAAAGCAGCUAUACUUUGUUUGAUUGAAAUGAUACUGAACAGCAUUUGAACGAAUGCAACUGUCAGCACGGGAUCGAUGGCCACUGCUCCCCCGUCGACUUUGCUUUCACCUCUUGCCGAGCUGGAGUUCAGCAGUCAAUGGGAGAGCGACCGGGGAUCGGUUUAUCACAUCUACACCCCCGAUAGAUUGAUCACUACCCGCCCUUCCAGUCCUAUGAUUCUACAGUAUUAACAGAAGUAUCGUAGGUAAGACACAGGAGGUAAUUGUUCCACUCUACUUAGCAAUGGUGAGGCCUCAGCUGGAGUAUUGUGUCCAGUUUUUGUCACCACACUGUAAGAAUGACAUAAACAAAUUGGAGAGCAUUCAAAAGAGAGCAAAAAAAAAAAAAAAGGCUGAGGUUUGGAAAUAUGAGGAGAGCUGCCGACAGGGAAAUAACCCACUCCCUUCCCUGAUGGACCAAGGGACGCACCCCACCCAUGUACUUAUCCGCUCCACCAGUACUGACUUGGACUUCUUAUUUAUUCCAUGGGUGGCGUACCUGAGCCCACUUAUCCACUGACACUUUAAAAACCCUUGCACCCCAAUCUGGGUCUAUGCCAGUUGUGCGAUUUGUAUGUAUCUUUUCAUACUUACAAAUGAUAUCUAUAACCCAAGCCUGAGCCCAGAUGAACAGUACCUUCCCUCUCAACCUGUGUAUAUUUCAUUUCAAACAUUCACUUUAAUAAAAUUUUUAAAUCUGAACUGUGCAUGUGUAGGCUAGAGAAGAGAAAGCUGAAGGGACAUAUUAUGAACAGUCUUCAAAUACAUAAAAUACUUUUAUCAGGGGAGAGUUCUCUAAGGGUACCGAAGGUAGGACAAGAAGUAAUCAGCUUAGUUUGCAGCAAGGGAGAUUUAUGUUGGAUAUUAGAAAAAAACUAAUUAUAAAUGGUAAUUAGUUACUGGAACAGGUUACCUAGGCAGGCUAUAGAAUUUCUGUCAUUGGAGGUUUUUAAGAACAGGUUAGACAAACGCCUGUCUGGGCUCAUCUAGGUAUACUUGGUCCAGCCUCAGCACACCGAGGGGAAGGAGGGAGGGAGGGAGAAUGGACUAGAUGAGUUCUUGAGGUCCUUCCCAGCCCUACAUUUGUGAUGCUAUGAUUUCUAUCUUCCCAUCCCUUGAAAAGAUGGACAAAGUGUAACUGGUGGCGUGAUGCCUGCCUGAAUCUGCAGACAGGUGGAAACCCCACAUCGAAGCGGUGUUAAUGGCCCUAUUCAUCAGAGCCCUUAUACUGCAGGUAUAGAAUCUGGGAUUUUUCAUGACCACAGAAUUAAGCAGUUUUGCCCCAGAAUUUACAUGGGGUGGGGAGGGUAGAUAGAAACAUUGGGGGCCCUGCACAAGGUGAGCGAGGUGCAUGCAUGGAUCAACGGAUGCUACUUUCAAAUCCUCUAGCUCCGGGCACAUGAGUGAUAUGUGUAGCCCACAGUGGAAUACAAUAGGGAACAUCAUUCAAAGAAGAAAAAUAGAUUAGGAAAAUGGGUCAUGUCUGAGAUCAAUUUUCAUUGCUUUUAGGGUAUGUCCUACCUAUAUUCAAUAUUCUCAAAGCCACACAUACCUUGUAGCUGUGACAUAACCGUGAAGGAUGCUGGGAGCUCAAGGCUUAUAUAUGGCAGCAUUCUCAAAUUCAGUAAACGUCACAGCAUCAGUUACUUGAGUUGGAGGUUGUCUGUGCAAUCAUAAGGGCUAGGGACUUCUGAGCUUUUAAAUUAACAAGAACAAAAUCUAGACAGCCUCAGAAAAAAACAAAACAAAAAACCUUGGUUCAGUGGUCCCCAAUGUGGUGCCUGCGGGCGCCAUGGAAACCGCCGGGGCAUGUAUGUGUGCCCGCCUAGUGACAAGGUGUGAAAAGUAGUGCCACAUCCUCACGCCUGCCAGGGACAGAUGUUCUCUGUCCCCGGCAGGCUCGGGGCUGCGGCUUCUCUCUGGCUUCUCUCCGCGCUGCCCAGCACAAACUGGUCUCAUUUUCGUUGGCCGGAACGACUACCAGGUUGAGUAGUAUCAUGGUAGUGCAGAUGUAGGCUGUCUCAUGCACGUGCUGUUGGUUCCAACCUCUCGUCACUCGUGUAUUAUUGAUUUUUUUUUUCUUUUCUUUUUUCCUGCUUACGCCUGCACACGCACUGGGAUGUCAGUGACACGUGUUUCUGUAUAUUAUGUGAGUAUUCUUCUGCUGCACUGUUACUGCUGUUUUCUUGUGCUUUGUGAUUAUUUUAACAUUUUGCCUCAAAAUGAGUGGUUCAAAUAAAAGACAACUUAUGUAUUAUUUCAAUGCACAGUGGGAAGAAUCCUAUUGUUUUAUUGAAAAUAAAGGGAAAUGUUUCCUUAUUGUGCAGUGGUACUGUUGCAGUGCUGAAAGAACAAUGUCGAACGCCAUUUCCAAACUAAUCACGGCUCUUUUCACAUUAGCCAUCCACUUAAAUCUGAGUUGAGAGAGGUUUGAUUUGAGUUGAUGAAUUUUCUUUUAUCUGCCCAGCAAUCUGUUUUCACUAGACAAGUGGUAAAGUCUAAAAGUGCUACUGUUGCUUCCUUUAAAAUUGCUCAUCUGCUCGCAAAGAAGAAAAAACCCUUUCAAAAUGGUGAAUUGUUGAAGGAAGCAUUUUUGACUGGUGCUGAUUGCCUGCUUCAAGGCUUUUCUAAGAAGCGUGAGAUUUUGUCGGCAAUACAAGGCUUGCAGUUAUCAGACAACAGUUACGAGGAGGAUACAUGCAAUUUCAAGCCACAUGCAAACUCAGCUAAAAGAUGACUUAGAAAUAUGUGACUGGUUUUCACUGCAGUUUGAUGAGUCGCCAGAUAUAUUGGAUACAGCGCAGUUGGCAGUUAUGGUGAGGAUGGUAUUUAGUGAUUUCACCCUAAAAGAAGUUACUAAAAGUAUUGCCUAUGAAAGGGCGAACAAAGGGUGAGGACAUCUGUAAUUUAUUCAAAUCAUACGCAACAUCAAUUAGUAUGUCACUACACAAGCUGUCUGUGAUCACCACUGAUGUGGCACCAGCAAUGAUGGGCAGCACCAAUGGAUUCAUUGCACUCUGCAAGAAGAAUGUAUCCUUUCCGAACUUUGUCUUAUUAUUGCAUUAUCCACCAAGAAGCUUUGUGUGUCAGAGUUCUCUCUUUUCAACACAUCAUGAAUGUCAUUAUUAAAAUAGCAACAGAGUCCUGUGGCACCUUAUUGACUAACAGACAUAUUGGAGCAUAAGCUUUCUUGGGUGAAUGCCCACUUCAUCAGAUGCGUGUGGUGGAAAUUUCCAGGGGUAAGUAUAAAUAUGCAAGCAAGAAUCAGUCUAGAGAUAAUGAGGUUAGCUCAGUCAGGGAAGAUGAGGCCCUCUUCUAGCAGCUGAGGUGUGAACACCAAGGGAGGAGAAACUGCUUUUGUAGUUGGCUAGCCAUUCACAGUCUUUGUUUAAUCCUGAGCUGAUGGUGUCAAAUUUGCAAAUGAACUGAAGUUCAGUCCUGACGGUUGUGUGUUUUUUUUUUUUUGUUUUUUUUUUUGCUGCAGGAUAGCUACCUUUAAAUCUGCUAUUGUAUGUCUAGAGAGGUUGAAGUGUUUUCCUACAGGUUUUUGUAUAUUGCCAUUCCUAAUAUCGGACAUGUGUCCAUUUAUCCUUUUACGUAGGGAUUGUCCAGUUUGGCCGAUGUACAUAGCAGAGGGGCAUUACUGGCACAUGAUGGCGUAUAUUAUAUAACCAUUUGUUAUCCACAUUCAAACACUUCUGGAACAAUUUGAAAAGAUUUCAACAGUUCACCAUCAUUGAGCCUGUAGUUGCCUUUCUUGUGAAUCCUUUUACUUGCCAAAUAGAGGUAACAGAAAUGGCUACAGCAAUUGCGAGUCUCAUUCAAGUAAGAACAGAAGAAGUGGAACUGGAAAUUGUGGAUCUUCAUAAUGAUACUGUUCUAAAACCCUGUGCAACAGAUGUAAACUUUUGGAAUCUGGUUGACUGAAAAAAGUUUUGUGCCUUAAAAAAUACAGCAUGCAAAAUAAAAUCUUAUUUCGGUUCCACUUAUCUAUGUAAAGUUCUGUUUUCAACAAUGAACAUCAUAAAAUUAAAAUACAGAUCUUGGCUUACAGAUGCCCAUCUUGAUGAUUGCUUAUGAACGGGAAUAUCAUCCUACUCUCCCAACUACGAAAAAUUGGCUGAAGAAAUGCAGUGCCAAAAAUCACACUGACUUUUUAUUAGAAAAAAACACAUGAAUUAAUUCACCUGUUUUCCAUUAAGUGCUGAUGAGUGCUUAUGAUUAACUUGUUUAA
Molecule: long non-coding RNA, 5948 nt
Organism: Gopherus flavomarginatus (Mexican gopher tortoise)
Lineage: Eukaryota; Metazoa; Chordata; Testudines; Testudinidae
Exons: 3
Source: RefSeq, a predicted model, not a curated record